Cephus cinctus (wheat stem sawfly) is the source of this 735-nucleotide long non-coding RNA. RefSeq lists it as uncharacterized. NCBI's taxonomy places the organism in Eukaryota, Metazoa, Arthropoda, Insecta, Hymenoptera, Cephidae. The record is from RefSeq and is a predicted model, not a curated record. The transcript is spliced from 3 exons.
GUGCAUCAAGAUUCCGGCGAGAAGUACGUCGGUCAAGGAACUUCCAGUGGCGGGACUUUCGAAUAGUCCAGAAGUCACGAACGACCCUGCACAGCCUUAAGACGUAGGUCUGAGUCUAAUAGUGUUGGCAGGGUGAGAAAACUCGAUGGAAAUAGACGAGAGACACGAAACGGACCGAAAACGUCGCUCAGGUAUGCGGAGGGAGCCGUAAGCGGGUCAGUUGGAAAUAAUCACGGAGCACAAAGCACAAACCCCUCAAAGCAUUCUGCCAAAUGAUCUGCUCGCUUCUCGUCGCGAGUAUUGUCAAGUUCACGUAUACGUAUGAGCGCCAUAGGGGAAAAGACAAAGCCAGAGUUACUCGAGGAUAAAUUUUCACCUAGCUCCUCGCAACGAGCACGUUUCGGAAGUAGGUUCACCUGUGCUCAAUCAUUCGAGUAACUGUCCGACGAGGAUCUAGCAAAUAUAUGCGCGAUCGAGUAGAUCGCUGAAGAGGAUCUUCGCGUCGGAAGCGUGUACGUUAUAACUGUGUCAAAUUUCAAUUUAGCCGUUUUCUUUUUUUUCCCCUUAAACUUUUUCUUCCUUCUCGUCCCAUCAAGGUAACAGACUUUCUCUUGUUCACGAUCAAUCCUAUAAAAUCCAAUCACGACGACAUCGAGCCGAUAUCGAUAUACGUCUAUUCGCGUAAUCUUACAUUUCGCCACUUGCUAUAUAUAAGUUUCAACCAUUCUCGACAAA